GGGUUCUUUUUUCUAUACGAUUCACUGUGAUAAGUCGCCUGCCUUCAGUGGGGGUUGCAUGGGCCCAGACUUGACUGCAAAUCACAAAACGAGCGGGGCAGGGCUCCGUGUUUCCAGGAGACGUCAGCUCCCUUGAGUCGGCGCUGACUCACGGAUGUCAUCAUAGCCUCCUCUUUCUCUCCGUGGGUAAGAAAACCACGGGGCUAAGGAUUCAACGCUCAGGAGGUUUAAAUCCUCAAGGCGAAGAGACGUUUAUUGCUCC
This 262-nucleotide long non-coding RNA is filed under the name Capra hircus (goat). RNAcentral's name for it is "lncRNA (ENSCHIG00010012787.1)". Lineage: Eukaryota; Metazoa; Chordata; Mammalia; Artiodactyla; Bovidae. The record is from RNAcentral.